This is a long non-coding RNA of Equus quagga, 5032 nucleotides long. RefSeq lists it as uncharacterized. The transcript has 2 exons. The record is from RefSeq and is a predicted model, not a curated record. NCBI's taxonomy places the organism in Eukaryota, Metazoa, Chordata, Mammalia, Perissodactyla, Equidae.
GAAAGGCAGCUCUUAGUCGCAAGCUCGCCUCGCUAAAAUAAAGGGAGCCAUCCGAACGGAGAUCCGGAAGAGAAAGGAUGGGGGGCUACGGGCUGCCGCAAGGUCCAAUCCGCGCCGUUCGGCUAACACGCUCUGCCCAGGGUCCCCGCCGAGAUGCCCAGUGCCCAGAGCGGCGUCUCAGAGCCAGCUCUAGGGAGAAGAGCAAGGGAGGCCCUCAGUCAGCGGUCAGCUCUUUUUGCAGAGGCUGAAAGAAAGGAUGGUUAUCUUUGGAUAACACCAAGACUACAAGUCACUGCUCUGCUUGAGAUAUAUUUGCUAUGAGCAAUGAUAAACGACUAUCUUUUUUUUUUUAAAAAAAAAAAAAGGUUAAAUCAUGACUCAUACAACUGUAAACAUGUCAAAGAUUUAAUUUAACUCACUAAUUAAUCAGGAUGUAUGUAAGGUGAUACAAAUGGUUCAGAGAUGAAUGCAAAAGGCAGACACAUGUGUAGGCAGUCAGGAAUGCUGGGAUGAACUUGCUUAAUAGAUGCUAAACUGGCUUCUUCCACAGUAGGGGAGGGAAGUCAACUGAACUCCCCCAGACAAGGUUCAGUUGUAUGUCUGGUAUCCAUGGGCAAGAAUCACUUGCAUUGCUAUCAAUUCUUUACACCCUAUGGAGUUAUAAAUAGCUUAAAGAAAAGAUCCUCUAGAACUAGAAAACCCAGAAGGGUGUGCAAGAAACACCUAGUUGUUCACUGAAGACACCCAAAAAUCUUUUUGACCCAUUUCAAAGUCUUUCACCAAAAAAGAAGAGUGGAGGCAUCCUCACCCCAUAAUUCUCUUCCAUCUCCACACUUGUCGUGUUGCCUGUGUCCUGGGUUACCAGGAUAGCUUGUUUGUUGUAACUAUCAAAUUGUACCUUUGCUGAAGGAAAUAGCACCAUAAAAUCAUUUGUUGAAAUAUUUAACAGGGAUGGCAGCAGUUGACAAAAAUACUUCAACUCUUAUCAAGGAUUUUCAUCUCUUUCUCAACACAACUGAAAUGUGGUCUUCUGCAAGCCUCAGCUUUUUUUUUUUAUCUCUAAAAUAUGAGGUUAGAUUUGAUUUCUAAGGUUUCUUCCUGUUUUAAGACUGUGGUUGAACACAGAGCUUUUUGCCUCUCCCUGAUUUCACUGAGGCCAUGGGAGAAGAAAACCUAACACUGGCGGCCCUUUCAGGGAUGGGAACAUCACAUCUCCAGGGUCAAUUCUGUCUACCUCUCAGGAGUCGGUUUCCAGCUAACCUCUCGUCCCAGGAACCAGCCCUUUUAAGGUGGAGCCUCUAUUCAAAUAUGUGAAAAGGUGCUCAGCCUCUUUCAAAGUAAAAGGAAUGAACCAAAUUUAAAGUAGAAGCAGAUACCAUUUUUCAUCUGGUGGAUGGGUGAAGAUAAAAGCUUAGUAAUCCUCUGCCGGCCAGGCAGACCAAGUUGGUGCAAUUGUCAAUUUGUUCAUCUCUUUGCAGAGCAAGCUAGCGAUAUGAAUCACACAGUUGGAGUGUACAUACCCUUUGGCCCAGCACUUCCACUCUUAGGUAUUUGUCCUGCAGACAGACCCACCCAUGUGCACCAAAGCAUGUGCACCUGAGUAUUUAAAGUCACAUGUUCGUAGAAGCAAAAACCUGGCGUCACCCUAGAUGCCCGUCAGUAUAUUAAAUCAAGUAUGUUGAAUACAGAGACAGAAUACUGUGCUGCGCAGUUGUAAAAAGAAUGAGGCAGAUGUUUAUGAAUGCAUAUGGAUGGUCUUUGAGGUAUAGUAAGUCCGUUGUGUAAAACUGUGUGUAUUUGUGUAAAAAAGAAGAGUAGGGGGUAUAUAUGUUUAUAUGUACAUAGAAUAUCCCUGGAGAAAUAUACAAGAAGUAGGUCUGUAACUUGUUAAUUUUUUAACCAUGUGUUCAUUUUUAAAUACAUAAAAAUGUAAUUAAAUGGGACAACCCAAUAGAACAAUUGGCAAAACACUUGCACGGGGACUUCACAAAAGAGACCAUCCAAAACACGAGAAAUUGCUCAUUUUCAUUAGUCAUCGGGAAAUGCAAACUUAAACCACAGUGGAAUACUAUUUACGCACCCAGCAGAAUGGCUCACAGGAAAACACACCAAGUGUCCGCAAGCAUAGGGAGUGAGUGGACUGACUGCCAGCCACUGCGGCUGGGAACGUCAUUGUUCAGCCGCCUCAGACAGCCGUCAGGAGCACCCGCUGGAGCUGAGCGUGCAGGUACCCGUGUCCGCCGAAAGACUCGUCCUGGGAUGUCCGCACGGCACUGUCCACAGUAACCCCAAACUGCAAACAAGCUAAAUAUCCAUGAACAACACAAUGAAUAAAUAAAUUGCGCUACAUUCACACAAUGAAACACUGUACAGAAUGCAAGCACAGACCACACACACAAUAGAAGUCAGUCUCACAAAUAUGACGUUGAGUAAAAGAAGACACAAAAGAACAGUAUGUACUAUAUGAUUCUAUUAAUAAAAGGUUCAAAAACAAGCAAAAUCGGUCUUUGGUGCGUGAAGACAGGGCGGGGCCUUGGUUCCCACUGAAGGGUGCUAGGGUGCUAGUAAGACUCUAUGUUUUGAUCUGGGUGCUGCUUGUGUGGGUGCCCGCUCGGUAAAAAUUCACCCAGCUGUGAACAGGUAUGAUCUGUGUGCUCUCUUAGAGUAAACAGUGGGAGAGAAAGAGAGGGAGACUUCCAAAGGUCGUACAGUGGAAAAGCAGAGGUUUGUUCCGGAAGGGUAUUGGGGUUGUUUCUUACUUUUUCCACUGAGUUUGGUGUUGAAUGCAACAGCCAGAGUAGGGAAGCCAGAAGGCUAAAAGUCCACAACCUAUGGGUUUGGACAAGGCCCAGGAUGUUGAAAGAACGCAGAGUGGUGUGAUGUGUCUCUGAACCCCUUUUCAUUGGGCCACCACACCUCUGGCUGUGGGUAGAGCCUGCUGGGGCCCAGGCCUGUGCCCGGGGGGAGGGCUUGUGGCUGGUGGACAUGUAUGGAGCACUUCCUGAGUGUCAGCCUUGGGGCUUGGCACUCUCUGUUCCCUGGAUGUCCCAAGCUCCCUCUCUCAUGCCCUUCAGCACUUGACUCAAAAGGCAUCUUCCUCCCCAGAGCUCUUUCUAAAAUUUCCCCCUCCCUCCCAUUCCUGUGACGUUUCGCUUCCCCUUCCCAGCUUCACCCCUUGUCACCACUCAGCUGACCCCCUACAUCUUUCACUUUGAUACCCCUGGUCUAUCCCUCACCAGGAUGCAAGCCUCGCGAAAGACAGGAGGUUGUUGGUUUUCUCCACUAUUGUCUCCCCAGUGCCUGUCGCACUCAAUAAAUAUGCACAGAAUGAAUGAAUGAAUGAACGUGCUAUGCUUGGUCCUUUCAUAGAUGAAGAAAUGGGCCCAGUGAGGUUAAGCAGUGUGCUCAAGGUCACAGAGCCAGGAAGGGAAAGCCAGCAUUCAGACCCAGAUCUUUCUUCGUCUUUGCUGCUGUCAUACUGCCUUGUACACUCACUUCAACCUCACAUCCCCGAUCCCUUUGUACAGUGAGGAAACUGAGGCUCAGAGUUCAGUGAUGGCCGAGAGGAAGUGGAGCACAGCUGGCCUGCAGACCUCGUCUGUGUGGCUCUGAAGGCCCUGCUCUUCAUCCUGCACCACUCUGCCCCUCCAAGGAGCGGAGGCCAAGCUCCAGCCCAGCGCAGCUCUACACCAAGCCCCGAGGGCCCGCUGUCACCUCCCUCCCCUGCUCCUGCUGCCAGGACCCCACCCACCAAGUCACCUGGAAGCAAGUCGUGCCCAUUGGUGCUCUCACUCCAAUAACUCAGUCCUCUUCCUGUCCUCCUCGCCCCUGUCCCCAAAUCUUGUCUUAAACUCACACUGGUUCAUUCCACAAGUAGUUAAUCAUCCACUCUGUGCCUGGCACCGUGCUAGGUGCUGCAGACCCACGAGUGAGCCAAACCAGACCAAGUUCCUGCCUGCUAUGGAGCUCAGAGACUAACUGAACAAAUAAAUAAGUGCACAGUUAAAACUGGUGUGUUCCUAUAGAGGAAAAGGACGUUGUGUGGUGAGGGAGUAUGCCCAGGCAUCCGGCCUGGUCCAGGGGUCGUGUGGAAGGCUUCCUUGAGGAUGUGAUAUGUGAAAGACAUGUGGGUAUUUGAUAAGCAAAAGGGGGCAAAUGGGGAGGCCCUACGGUGGAAAGCAGCAUGGGGGCCAGUGUGUGGAAGGCAAGCGGGGAGUGGCUUGAGACCAGCCUGGAGAGCUCAGAGGGGACCAGGUUGUGCAGGCUCCUAACAAACAGAUGAGGGAUUCUGGCCACAUCUGAGGGUCAGUGGGAAGCCACUAGAGGAUUUUAUCACAUUUGUGGUUUUCAAAGGUCACUCCAGCUGCUUUGAGGAGAACAGACGGGAAGGGCAAGGAUAGACGCAGGGAAAUUAAUAAAUCUUAAUGGAGCGAUCGAAUUAGAACACUCAGCAUUUUGCAACCACCAUAACAUCAUGAAUGGAUGCUAAACCACUGGGCCAAAGUUCAUUGGAAAAUAGGAUAUUUAGAUAGUCUCCAAGUAUCUUCCCCACAGAUUACUUACAAAGGGAAAACAGCACCUUUAUCUUGGAGAAAUAUAUCACCAGCUCAACCAGUGGUCAAACACAGCAUCACCAAUAACGAGACAAACGGAUGUCUGUGCCUUCUAAGGCGACGCGUUGAGCAGGACGCACACCAGUUCGGCGACACUGCUGCCAGAGAUGCGUCCCCUGGCUCUUUAAGGGCGCAAUCAGAAAAGUCCAGACAGAGACUUCUGCAAAACUGCUGGCCUGUACUCUUAGCACAUGUCAGUGUCUUGAAGGACAAAGAAGAGCUGAGAACCAUUCCAGAUAGAGUUUGCCUUUGAAGAUGGAGGAAGGGGCCUCGGGCCAAGGAAUGCAGGCGGCCUCCAGAAGCUGCAAAAGGCAAAUUAUUCCUCCCCCAGAGCCUCCAGAAGGGAGGCAGCCCUGCGGACACCUCGAUUUUAGGAUUUGACCCCAGAACUGUAAGACAAUAAAUUUGUGUUGUUUUAA